UGGGGAAUUUUGGACAAUGGGCGAAAGCCUGAUCCAGCCAUGCCGCGUGAGUGAAGAAGGCCUUCGGGUUGUAAAGCUCUUUUAGUCGGAAAGAAAGAGUUGCAAUGAAUAAUUGUGAUUUAUGACGGUACCGACAGAAAAAGCACCGGCUAACUACGUGCCAGCAGCCGCGGUAAUACGUAGGGUGCGAGCGUUAAUCGGAAUUACUGGGCGUAAAGGGUGCGCAGGCGGUCUUGCAAGUCAGAUGUGAAAGCCCCGGGCUUAACCUGGGAAUUUCGUUUGNAACUACAAGACUAGAGUGCAGCAGAGGGGAGUGGAAUUCCAUGUGUAGCAGUGAAAUGCGUAGAGAUGUGGAAGAACACCGAUGGCGAAGGCAGCUCCCUGGGUUGACACUGACGCUCAUGCACGAAAGCGUGGGGAGCAAACA
RNAcentral lists this ribosomal RNA (427 nucleotides) under uncultured bacterium. RNAcentral describes it as "bacterial SSU rRNA". It matches the Rfam family "Bacterial small subunit ribosomal RNA", at positions 355 to 774 of the family's 1533-position model. The record is from RNAcentral.